RNAcentral lists this ribosomal RNA (472 nucleotides) under Aegla cavernicola. RNAcentral's name for it is "partial 16S large subunit ribosomal RNA". It matches the Rfam family "Bacterial large subunit ribosomal RNA", at positions 1932 to 2601 of the family's 2925-position model. The record is from RNAcentral. Lineage: Eukaryota; Metazoa; Arthropoda; Malacostraca; Decapoda; Aeglidae.
CGCGGUAUUUUGACUGUGCGAAGGUAGCAUAAUCAUUUGUCUUUUAAUUGAAGACUUGUAUGAAUGGCUGAACGAGAAAAUAACUGUCUCUUUAAAAAAUCUUGAAUUUUACUUUUAAGUGAAAAGGCUUAAAUAAAUUUAAAGGACGAUAAGACCCUAUAAAUCUUUAUACUAUUUUCUUUAUCUUUCAAAUUAUAUAUAUUAAAAGAAGAAAAAGAAAAAGUAUUAUAUUGGGGAGAUAAAAAUAUAAUUUUUUUUAACUGUUUUAAAUACAAAACAAUAAUUUUUGCUUUAUUAAAAAUUGAUCCUUUUUAAAGAUUUUAAGAUUAAGUUACUUUAGGGAUAACAGCGUAAUUUUUUUUGAGAGUUCUUAUCGAAAAAAAAGUUUGCGACCUCGAUGUUGAAUUAAAAUUAUCCUUAUAAGUGCAGAAGCUAUAAAAGGAAAGUCUGUUCGACUUUUAAAAUUUUACAU